UAUAAAUUAUAUUUUAAAUUUAUGAGAUAUUUUGUAUUGUCACAAAAAUAAUAAAUAUUGUCCAUAACCCACACAUAUGAUUUUGGUACAUAUACUUAAUAAUUAACUUAUAAUAAAAUAAUUAAUAUUAAUUUUUCUUUACUUAUCACUUCGAAGUAACGGUGCAAAUCAUCUGUGUCUUCGUCUCACUCGUCUCUCUCUCUGACAAUUUUGGAGUCCUUCUAUAUUCCAAUGACUUCUACAAAGGUCAACAAUCGAGGUUCGCCUGGAUCAAAAAGGUUUCGAAACAACGGGGUGAGAGUGGGGCGCACGAAGUAUAUCUGAUGUGUGUCCAGAGAAGUGUCUGAUGCCUGUCCAACUACUUGGAGAAGUGCAUGCGGUGUGUCCAAGCCCCCCCCCCCAAAAAAAAAUAAAAUUGGACACCGCAAAAACGUGUCAGACACGGUGUCCACUGCAUGUCCAAAGAGUGUGGGUGUUGGAAACGUGUCCAACACGUGGACACGACAUUCAUCGGAAGUGUCCGUUGCUAAAUGCAAUUGUAUUAUUAUUAUUAUUAUUAUCAAGUAUAUAGUAAUACAAGUAUACAACUAUUACCUAAACUUACUGAUUGGAGCUUGCUUAUUGAUUAGAUAUUUAUUGACUUUGAUUUAGGGUAAGUAAAGGGUUUCUACUUUCUAUACAAUGAAGAAUAGUAACAGUGAUAUUGCUAAUGCAAGGUUUGGGAGAGAAAUUUUUAUUUUUUUCAAUUUCUUUUCAGGAAGGUUACAUUGGAAGCUAAAUCAAAUAAACUUAUUGGGUGGACAUGCAAUAUUUGUUCUGACACAGUACCCUAUAUGCAUGUUCACAAAGUUAUAUUGCAUCAUUCAGAAGUCAUAAAAGUUGAUAUUAGCUGGGAAGCAUUGAUCAAACUAGUGCAGUGGUUUUAUUCUGAUAAUCUGCCUAAUCCUCCUUCUGGAUGCUUGUGGGAUAAUAUGGAUGAUGAAGAAAAGCUAUUCAAUCUACAACCAUAUGUGGAGCUUUGUUGGCUUGCUGAGUUUUGGAUUUUGGAAAAUAUUCUGGAAGCCUGCUGGAAGGUGAUUAUGUCUUGUCUUGAUAAUGAACAGUUUUUUAUUGUAUGCAUUUUUAUUCAAAUUCAUACUAUAAAAUCUGGAUGCUAUUAUCGCUUUGAGAA
Glycine soja is the source of this 1171-nucleotide long non-coding RNA. RefSeq lists it as uncharacterized. Lineage: Eukaryota; Viridiplantae; Streptophyta; Magnoliopsida; Fabales; Fabaceae. The transcript has 4 exons. The record is from RefSeq and is a predicted model, not a curated record.